UCAGCAUGCCCCCACCCCAGCCACCCACCUUCUGGAGACCCCUAAGUGGAUUUUCACACAGAAAGGAUGUUGGCAUCCCCAGUGAUCCAGGAGACAUGGCUGGGUCCACCCUUAA
Molecule: small RNA, 115 nt
Filed under: Spermophilus dauricus (Daurian ground squirrel)
Lineage: Eukaryota; Metazoa; Chordata; Mammalia; Rodentia; Sciuridae
Description: Pvt1 onco conserved region 1 (ENSSDAG00000013385.1)
Source: RNAcentral